AGAGUUCGAUCCUGGCUCAGGAUGAACGCUGGCGGCGCGCCUAACACAUGCAAGUCGAACGGCACCCACCUUCGGGUGGAAGCGAGUGGCGAACGGCUGAGUAACACGUGGAGAACCUGCCCCCUCCCCCGGGAUAGCCGCCCGAAAGGACGGGUAAUACCGGAUACCCCGGGGUGCCGCAUGGCGCCCCGGCUAAAGCCCCGACGGGAGGGGAUGGCUCCGCGGCCCAUCAGGUAGACGGCGGGGUGACGGCCCACCGUGCCGACAACGGGUAGCCGGGUUGAGAGACCGACCGGCCAGAUUGGGACUGAGACACGGCCCAGACUCCUACGGGAGGCAGCAGUGGGGAAUCUUGCGCAAUGGGGGGAACCCUGACGCAGCGACGCCGCGUGCGGGACGGAGGCCUUCGGGUCGUAAACCGCUUUCAGCAGGGAAGAGUCAAGACUGUACCUGCAGAAGAAGCCCCGGCUAACUACGUGCCAGCAGCCGCGGUAAUACGUAGGGGGCGAGCGUUAUCCGGAUUCAUUGGGCGUAAAGCGCGCGUAGGCGGCCCGGCAGGCCGGGGGUCGAAGCGGGGGGCUCAACCCCCCGAAGCCCCCGGAACCUCCGCGGCUUGGGUCCGGUAGGGGAGGGUGGAACACCCGGUGUAGCGGUGGAAUGCGCAGAUAUCGGGUGGAACACCGGUGGCGAAGGCGGCCCUCUGGGCCGAGACCGACGCUGAGGCGCGAAAGCUGGGGGAGCGAACAGGAUUAGAUACCCUGGUAGUCCCAGCCGUAAACGAUGGACGCUAGGUGUGGGGGGACGAUCCCCCCGUGCCGCAGCCAACGCAUUAAGCGUCCCGCCUGGGGAGUACGGCCGCAAGGCUAAAACUCAAAGGAAUUGACGGGGGCCC
Molecule: ribosomal RNA, 892 nt
Filed under: uncultured Collinsella sp.
Lineage: Bacteria; Bacillati; Actinomycetota; Coriobacteriia; Coriobacteriales; Coriobacteriaceae
Description: bacterial SSU rRNA
Rfam family: Bacterial small subunit ribosomal RNA
Source: RNAcentral